Molecule: ribosomal RNA, 490 nt
Filed under: uncultured bacterium
Lineage: Bacteria
Description: partial 16S ribosomal RNA
Rfam family: Bacterial small subunit ribosomal RNA
Source: RNAcentral
AUUGAACGCUGGCGGCAGGCCUAACACAUGCAAGUCGAAUGGUAACAGGAAACAGCUUGCUGUUUCGCUGACGAGUGGCGGACGGGUGAGAAAUGUCUGGGAAACUGCCUGAUGGAGGGGGAUAACUACUGGAAACGGUAGCUAAUACGGCAUAACGUCGCAAGACCAAAGAGGGGGACCUUCGGGCCGCUUGCCAUCAGAUGUGCCCAGAUGGGAUUAGCUAGUAGGUGGGGUAACGGCUCACCUAGGCGACGAUCCCUAGCUGGUCUGAGAGGAUGACCAGCCACACUGGAACUGAGACACGGUCCAGACUCCUACGGGAGGCAGCAGUGGGGAAUAUUGCACAAUGGGCGCAAGCCUGAUGCAGCCAUGCCGCGUGUAUGAAGAAGGCCUUCGGGUUGUAAAGUACUUUCAGCGGGGAGGAAGGGAGUAAAGUUAAUACCUUUGCUCAUUGACGUUACCCGCAGAAGAAGCACCGGCUAACUCCGUG